CAUUAGUUUAAGUAUGAGGCCCCUGCUUUCGUACAUGAGGUGGGGUUCUUUCAAGGGUGGUUGCCCCUCUUUGUGCGAAUCAGCCGCCGAUGAUUUUACGACUUUUUAGUCGCAAGCAAAAAUCCAACAGCCCUUGUGAUAGAUGAUGGAAAUGAUGAUUAUGCUAGAGCAAUUUCCCCGUUUUUCUACUGCUUUUUUCUGGAACCCUAAACCCUAAUCGGCGUCGAUGUGCGAGGCUGUGAUGAUUUUUCGAAGCAAAAAAUCAGAUUUUGAGCGGACCCGUAUCUUGGCGUGGCAAGAUCAGAGAGUCUGUGAGAUGGGUUCUGGGUUAUGUUACUCGGUUCCCGUCUCAUUAGGCCACUGGUUUUUGCAGCCAUGGCGGGUUUAGCCCCUUCUUUUUUCUGAUGAUAAAAGGCGAAUCUGAGCCUCAGUUCCUUGUACAAAUGCAUGUCUUUUCUAUUUUCUUGCAAAAGGGUUUUUUCUUCGUCCAGAUCUUGAUGCUUGUGUGUUGAGAAGAAAUCAGAAAUAGAAGAAAAAUUAAUAACUAAGAGAGGAAAUAUUAGUACAAAAACAGAAGAGAAGAAGAAGAGUUGCUGAAGUAUUAUUCAUUUGUUCGUUGUUGGAACAUAACGUGGAGAGUUCUUGUGAGACUGAAAAUUUUCUAUUCUUUGUUCUGAAUUAGAAUGAUACGGGACUGCUGCACAUAUUUCCUUUCUAUCCUUUCUCUAAAGUCCACCGUAUUGCAUUCUGCGUCGGUGAUUAUGAGUGUGGAAUUAUUUCAACCAAAGUAUGAUUUGCACAUUUGUGUUUGCUCUGUACUGAGCAGAUUCUUUGAAGGAGGAGAUGGGCAAGUUGGAAUGCAAAGUUGACGCGGUGAGCUUAAAUCUUGAUCAUAGUCGGACUUAUUUGAGGACUAGACUGAACUCAUCAACAUGGAUUUCACAGUUUUGGCAAGUUUAGAUUCAUCAAGACAUGAAAAAGUUACCGAUUUUCACUCUCUUUCGAGAAAAUAGAAAAGUUUACAUAGAUGUUAUAAAGUUUGUUUUUCAAUGAAACUGAAUGUGAACACUUUACAUGUGUGGUAAAAUGAAUUCCAUUCCUGCCAAUCCGUACUUGAUGAUUAAUUGGACGUGGCCCAAAUACUAGUAUCACGGAUAGAAUAAGAAUUCUGAUCUCUGUAUCUUGAAUUUAUGCAACAGUCUCCCAGUCUGCACUGGGAACAAAAAUCUCACUCUUGCUUGCAAAUGUCCUUUCUCUUCUUGAUAAAGUAACAGUGAAAAGGAUGACACACAAUACAAAAUGACAAGAACAACCUCUGCACCUCCACUCUUCACCAUUCCGUUUCUCCACCACUAGGGUCAAAGCAGGCUAUCAAGUUCCACUUUCUCGGUUUCCCAAAAACAAUCUUGGAAUGGGAAAGAGGUUUCAUUCAUUACUGAUGAGGGUUUUUGCUGUUUCUGCACAAAGUGUUGCUCAAAUGAUACACGAUUUCUCUACAUUUUCCUUACAAACGAAGAGGAACAAGAAGAGAAAGGGAAACACCAAGAACCCUUCUGCUAUCUUUUUCUUGUUAUCUAUUGCUAAGUCGAUAUUGCCAGAGCAAAUUCCUUCAAGUUAAGAUUGUAAUGUCGAGGCUUUGAUGAUCGCAUCAUUCUCCUAAUCAGAUCUUGAUCAAAUCCGUAGCUUGGCUUGGCAAGAUCAGAUGGCCGGUGUGAUGGGCUUAGUGUAGUUUUACUCUUUGUCCCAUCUCAGUUAGGCAACUGAUUUCCGCAGCCAUGGCGGAACAAGCUACCAUUUCUUCUGAUGAUACAAGUCUACCUGAGCCUCGGAUUCUUGCUUGCAUGUUUAAAAUAAAAACCCAGAAAAAAUAUUGAAGGAGGCUCAGAUCUGUUGUCUUGAACUCAAGCAAAGAGAAUGCGGCCGCGCCAUGGCUGCAAAGCCACCGGUUGCAUGCGAUUAAAAGGAAAAAAGACCUAAAAUCGCAGGCCAUCCGGGUCGCCCUGCCAAGAUACGGGCUGGGUUUUCUCUAUGCCCGAUUCAUCAGCUCAGAAAGAAUCAAUAAAAAUCAUCACAGCCUCUAAUACGUCGAACAUCAUAAGGCCGUCGCCGCCGCCGCCGCCACCACCACCACCGUCAAAUCGACAAACACACGCUAAUUGCAGGUACAGCACAGAGGCUUCAUUUGAAAACAAGGGAUAAUUAUUAUUUCUACUUCAUAUUUUCUUUUCAAGGGCUGUUGGCACUUUCUUAGAGUUGAAUCGAAGAAAUCACGGGGCUUAGAGAGAGGGGCAA
This is a long non-coding RNA of Sesamum indicum (sesame), 2292 nucleotides long. RefSeq lists it as uncharacterized. The record is from RefSeq and is a predicted model, not a curated record. Lineage: Eukaryota; Viridiplantae; Streptophyta; Magnoliopsida; Lamiales; Pedaliaceae.